Salarias fasciatus (jewelled blenny) is the source of this 400-nucleotide long non-coding RNA. RefSeq lists it as uncharacterized. Lineage: Eukaryota; Metazoa; Chordata; Actinopteri; Blenniiformes; Blenniidae. The transcript has 3 exons. The record is from RefSeq and is a predicted model, not a curated record.
GAGUCUGAGGAAGCCUCAACCUCAGGGGCAGGUGGCAGAUCCUGUGUUUCACCGGACUGCGGUUGUGGUGUUGUGUCCAUCCUUGAAGACAACCAACUCUCAGAGCCCGUCACCAUGCCAGGCAGUGACUCCAUCUCUUUGUCCGGUUCACUGGGCACAGUUUCCUUUAACCCUGCUCUCACCUGAUCCACAUGCCGUUUCAGGGUUUUUCCAUUCCCGAUGGUGACAUUGUACGACACUGGACCAGAAGAGCUCUCGACGACUGCAGCUGCUUUUGCUGCACUUUUGUUUUCACAUCUGGCAGGAGCAGGUCAAAGACUGAUCGAAGUCUCCGUGACAUCAUCAGCUCAGCAGUCUGGACUGCCCUCUCUGCGAGACCAUUGGAGGAUGGGUGAAAAGG